Molecule: ribosomal RNA, 241 nt
Filed under: uncultured bacterium
Lineage: Bacteria
Description: partial 16S ribosomal RNA
Rfam family: Bacterial small subunit ribosomal RNA
Source: RNAcentral
GUGUACCUACGGGAGGCAGCAGUAGGGAAUCUUCCACAAUGGACGAAAGUCUGAUGGAGCAACGCCGCGUGAGUGAAGAAGGGUUUCGGCUCGUAAAGCUCUGUUGGUAGUGAAGAAGGAUGGAGGGAGUAACUGGCCUUUAUUUGACGGUAAUUACUUAGAAAGUCACGGCUAACUACGUGCCAGCAGCCGCGGGAAUACGUAGGGGGCAAGCGUUGUCCGGAUUUAUUGGGCGUAAAGC